RNAcentral lists this long non-coding RNA (550 nucleotides) under Fukomys damarensis (Damara mole-rat). RNAcentral's name for it is "lncRNA (ENSFDAG00000026882.1)". Lineage: Eukaryota; Metazoa; Chordata; Mammalia; Rodentia; Bathyergidae. The record is from RNAcentral.
CCUUUUGAAUACAUCAAUAAUAAUAGUUACCAUUUGGAAUACUUACUGACAGGUGUGAGAACAUCAGACUUACGCAUUUCGUCGUAAAAGUGACUGUUGUCGUUCCUGCUUCACAGAGGAGGGGACUGAGGUGAUUUACCAUCCCACGAGUGGGUAGCACUGGAGGACCUCGGAUUUGUCCCCAGACCCUGGGGGAACUGCUGACAUCCACCAACCCUUAGCAAACAGCAGGUUUCCUGAACCUCUGAGUGAAUGGUUUCAAAUACUACACCGUCUGACUCUGGUCGGAUGCACGAAAGGAACAGGACUUGGCUGUGACUCCUGGCUUCGCAGCUCCUGUACAGUGCUCAUCGGACGGCCUGUGCCCACCAGCUGAGACCCCGCCAGCACAGAGGCCUGGUCCCCUUGCUGUGCAGACCCCCGACACACAGCACGCAGAGCAGCACGGGAAAUGCCGGGUGUCACCAGCUGUUCUUACAAGGCAUUGCACCUGGCUACACUACUUACUGAAUGUAUUUAUCCUCAUGUAUUCAUUUUUUUAUAUUUUGCC